AGUUGAGCAAAUGGGGCAGCGUUCCCGGCGCGGGAGAGGAGCCGGCCGUCAGGGAGGGCUCCGGCGCUCUGGCUUCCCAAAAAGGCUGGUGCAGAUUUCUGUCUCCGGAGCUUUAGCUUGGAGGCUGUCGCAUCAGGCUCCUGGAUGCUGUGAUAUCUCUGCCUUGAGCCUUACUCUUCCCAUUGCCAGAAACCCAGGGAUGUUUUAGGGAGAACACGUGGGUUUGCGUGGCAGCAGGAGCUCCGCGGGAUGAAGCACCCAGUACCGCAGGGAGCGUGAAGUCCUCACGCUGCCUUUCGUCGCAGUUACGGACACGGGGCAUCGCCAUGGCAGCGUCUUUAAAAACACGCAGAAUACGCCCAGCUUUAUUCCAAAAACGGUGCAAACCUUUGAGCCGUCAGAGCUUUCGGCUUCCCCUGCGCUCCCUGCUCCUGGGGCAGGAGACGGCAGAGUGCGUCCUGCGGGCGAGGGAUGAGGGGCCCUGAGCUGAGCGCAGCCUCGAAGCUCGGCGGUGACCCUGAUGGCAACGCCCCACGUCCUCUGCAUUUUAUCUGUCACUACGAAAAAACCAAACUUGUUUGGAGGUGCAUCAGCUGGGGAUGGGUCCUUCAGCGCGGUGCCCUCAAGACAGGUUCCUCCUGGGGACCUGCCCAGAGCUUCUUUAUGGCAAACUCCUGCAGGGGAAGUUUCGGCACUCUCAUCCCAGCCCCGUCCUCUCGCGCAUGAGCCAGCUGCCAGCCCAAGAGACUCUUGCCGGCGUCUGUCCAGAUUUGACAUAUCGGAAAAAUUUCUAUUUUUUUUUUUUUUUUUUUCUUUUAGCUAAUCAUUCCUAAGACUGAGUUGUCCUGCCACGUGUUCUCAUGUUUUUUUCCAAUCUCUCGGUUUGGAGGUGGCCUUUGGAAGAUGAUGUUUCAGUCCUAACGGCGUUCUCGCGCCAAAACGCAGCUGCUUGGGCUGCGGGGCUGCACGGGACUCCCAGGGCUCAGCACCAGCUUCCUCUACCUCGUCCAGCUCCUUCCAGAAACGGGCAGUUUUGCAGCACCGUGUUGCCUUCCCGCGGGCUCUGGCUCCCUUCUUUGACCAGGUACCUCCGCGUGCAAAACCUGGCUGUCGCCAAGGACUCCUGCUCUCCGACGCAUCAUGCCAAGCUUAACGUGGUUGCUUGUCUUAAAGCUUCGACAACAAAGCAUAUGCAGGACAGAUGGAUAUGAGGUUUAUAAGAUAAUUAAGCAUGUUAAUGAAGUUCAUUUGCAUCCAGGCCUUAAAUUCCCAUAAACUCUGCAAAGCUGUGAAAUGAGAAUUGCCACUCGACACCACAAAGCAACAAAAUUUAGUUACCAGAAGCAAAACAAUGAUUAACAAGCGAGAACAAAAGCCCGCUGCGAUCCCCCGAGCCGGCGGGCCCCGCGGGCCCGGCGUCCUGCACAUCCGAGCGAAUGCUUUGGCAGGUCCCGGCUCCCCAAAGUGAUGUGGCAAAGCUGCGCUGAAUUAUGCAACUAACUGGUGAUUAAGUAGCAAUGUUAAUUGAAUACAAAUUGCUUAAGGGCCUUUGGCUGGAUGGAAACGUUAUGAAAGUAGGGAGAGCGGGGCGAAAAAAUUCUUCAAAGAAGGGAGAUUUCACCCCAGAGACAGAGAAAAAUCUUUUGAAGUGCAGCAAAAACGAGACCCAACGCUCGGCGCAGGGAGCCCUGCCAUGA
Struthio camelus australis is the source of this 1697-nucleotide long non-coding RNA. The record is from Ensembl. Lineage: Eukaryota; Metazoa; Chordata; Aves; Struthioniformes; Struthionidae.